UACGUAGGGUGCGAGCGUUGUCCGGAAUUAUUGGGCGUAAAGAGCUUGUAGGCGGUCUGUCGCGUCUGCUGUGAAAAUCCGGGGCUCAACCCCGGACUUGCAGUGGGUACGGGCAGACUAGAGUGUGGUAGGGGAGACUGGAAUUCCUGGUGUAGCGGUGAAAUGCGCAGAUAUCAGGAGGAACACCGAUGGCGAAGGCAGGUCUCUGGGCCACUACUGACGCUGAGAAGCGAAAGCAUGGGGAGCAAACAGG
Molecule: ribosomal RNA, 253 nt
Filed under: uncultured bacterium
Lineage: Bacteria
Description: partial 16S ribosomal RNA
Rfam family: Bacterial small subunit ribosomal RNA
Source: RNAcentral